RNAcentral lists this long non-coding RNA (278 nucleotides) under Gossypium raimondii (Peruvian cotton). RNAcentral describes it as "long non-coding RNA (GRAI_LNC005112)". The record is from RNAcentral. Lineage: Eukaryota; Viridiplantae; Streptophyta; Magnoliopsida; Malvales; Malvaceae.
GUGGUGGGACCAAAAGGCAUUCCAGGACCUCGACGCCUAUCAGUGGCGCAGACUGCGUUGGGUCCGCAACAAGUUCACUAUUUACAACUAUUGCAGCGAUAGGGUGAGGUACCCCACAAUGUCGCCCGAGUGCAAGAGAGACAGAGACGCUUGAUUCAUUUCCAUCACCACCGAGUCCAAGUUCCCCCCUUAUAUUCUUCACUACCAUAUGAGAUCCGUCAUUGUCCUUUAGAUUUCAAUUGCUUGUUGGCCUUCACUUAUUUCCACAUCAAUUUCAU